Molecule: long non-coding RNA, 2647 nt
Organism: Oncorhynchus kisutch (coho salmon)
Lineage: Eukaryota; Metazoa; Chordata; Actinopteri; Salmoniformes; Salmonidae
Exons: 5
Source: RefSeq, a predicted model, not a curated record
AACCGGGUUGCAUUAUAGGUGACGAGUUCAGGGGACCGCAGUCAGGGAAUGUAUUUAAAAAUAUAUAUAUAUUUACAUUCAUUGACCUCAGUUAUCCUAAAUAGCGGUUGUGACUAGAUGGGAGUACAGCUGCGACCGGAAGUGACUUUUCGUAGCAGGUUAAGAUGCCGUUUUAGCUAGCCCUAACCCCAUAUCAUAAUUACCCUAACAUACUACAUACAUUUUCCUAACCUGGUACGAAAUAGUCUCUCCUGGUCGUAACUGUAUACCGCCUAGUCAAAACUCUAAAUAGCCAUUUUCUACAUGUAGGCAGUUUUAUUUUGGAGGUAGAACAGUGUUCUACAAGCUAUAAUGAAUGAGAGUGAUCCAAAAUAUUUUUCAAGGAGCAGAUGCCCCAAAACUAACCUUUUUCUGUAAAUGACAUGACAAUUCAAUAAGUGGAAUCAUUGCCACUGUGUGCCAACCUGCCACGAUGGUGCCCUUGCUGAGUGUAAUUGCCAAACAUCGGUCUCUUUCUGUUGUCUGUAGGUACAUGGGAUUGGAUGAGUGACUCACCUCAACUCCCACCAUGUGAGUGUGCUGUCUGCUAUCACUCCUAGUUUGGCCCGGGUGGCAGGCUUCACCUGCUCCGCUGCAGGUCGGUAGUUCAGGGGGGUGCUGGACGAGCACCUAGCCAUGCUGUACUUUCCGGAGGGGAACAAGGAGCUGGCUGUGAAGGGGGCUGUACCACUGGAGCCUACCCUCCUCCUUCCAGCUACUGAAGGAUCUGGUGGCAGACGGGAAGGGACUUUUCCAUCUUGUUCCUUAACUUUUGGCUGAGACCUUCCUCGCGUGCUGUCUUCUGCGUCCCGUGCCCUCACCCAGAGCUCCCACCCACUGUUCCCCCGAACUCCCAGCCCUUAAGGAUACUCUAAAGCAGAGUUUGAUCCGCUGUAGUAAGAAGGGGGUGGUUCUGACCAGUCCAGAUCCGGGGCACCAUUCCAAAAGGCUUGAAGUCUUAUCACACUAAUGGGGGUGCCCUAGUUUGCUGGCAAGCUCCUACAUCUUUGAAUCAUCAUCAGGUUGGCCAGGAACACCUACACUCCUUCCUGGGAGGAAAGCUUCGGUGCCGGGACCCCUUCGACCAGGAAGUCACAGCACAUAUUCAUAGAUGACAGCAUCCUGCAGAAUGAUGAGGACAUUGUUGCCCAUCCAAAGGUGUUCCUGGACUGAGACGGCUCAGAGACCUGCAUAUAGCCUCCACCUCACAGCUGUAUGACCUACGUCUGGUCCAGAACGACCGUUCCGAGCCAUCUCAGACCUAGUGUAUUUCAGCCAGUUAUGACAGGAACCUCCAACAUGGGGCAGGCUAGAGUGGUGUGUCUGCAGCCUAUAGCUCCAGGAGUGGCUGCGGUUCUGGAUUUUCUGGAACACAGGAGUUUUGGACUUUUUCUGUUUUGGAUACAGAGAUUUCUGCACAUGUGUAAGAUCCGCUGUGUGCCCUACCCCUCCCCGAGUCCUUCCAGCUGCUGCUCUGUGAUCACUCACUCACCCCAUGACUCCGCUGCGUGCCCUACCCCUCCCCGAGUCCUUCCAGCUGCUGCUCUGUGAUCACUCACUCACCCCAUGACUCCGCUGCCACUUGUUCAAGCAAAUGUAGUUCUUUGUCUUUUGUAACAGAAGUCAAACAUAAGCACGACGUAACAGGCAGUCUAGCGUUUUCAUGUUCUUUUGAGUUAGCCUACUAGAUGUACACAACAUAUCAGCAAGCAAGACACGAACACACAGUCCAUAGCGAUGUAAUGUGCAAACACAUUGGGAAGCAGAGUUCUCAGGGUGUGUACAGAUUUUGGGCUGGGUAAAACCCCUCGCCUCAUCCUUUUUGGUAAAGCGUAUAUAGUAAAAAGAGAACACUUGCAGAAUGUGAUUUGGAUCCUUAGCUUUGUGAAAGAAGUUCCCGGAGGGGCGGGGCGGGGGCGAAGACUCAGUAUUCGUAACCUCGGACAUAAUUUAAUGCAGGGUGUAGGGUCAGAAAUGCACUUAUAAUAAUUGUCAUGAUGUUGACUUCAGGGACUUGGAGAGAGAAAACAGCUUGACGAACAUUCCUGUCUGGAAAAUAGUUAGUUAGUAAUAACAUCGUAUUAAAUAGUUGAUACACUACAUGUGACAGGACACUUGCAAUCUGAAAUGACCUUCUAGUGGAGUUGACUGUGUGGUUACUGGACAGUAUACAGUGGUCCUAUCUCUGCAGUGCAGACUGACCAGGCUGGGCACAUCCAAUCAACACCUCUGAUCUCCAGCACAAUGUGUACAGAGUUGGUUAAUCUGAUGUACUGGCCAUAGUUGUUUGCUGAAGCAGACGCUGAUUGCAGAAGCAGACGCUGUGUCCUCUCAUUACAAGCCAAACGAUGAGGCACAGUGUGUACAGUAGGAAGACUCUUCACUCACUGUUCACCAGAUAGUGUGUGUUCAGUGUGUAAUGGUCUGUACAUAAUACCAAGUACUAUUUCACUCUGACUUCCAGGUACAGGUCUCUAGGGGAAUAAUACAACGUGUUGUAGUCCUUGUCAGAUCUACUUUAUAUAUAUGAAGCCUCAAUGGCUUGAUUGUCUCUAAUCACACACAUUAAUAUGUUUUACCCUUCCACAAAUAAAAUAUUUGUAUCUUU